UGAGUAACGCGUGGGUAACCUGCCUCAUACAGGGGAUAACAGUUAGAAAUGACUGCUAAUACCGCAUAAGACCACGGAGCCGCAUGGCUCAGUGGGAAAAACUCCGGUGGUAUGAGAUGGACCCGCGUCUGAUUAGGUAGUUGGUGGGGUAACGGCCUACCAAGCCAACGAUCAGUAGCCGACCUGAGAGGGUGACCGGCCACAUUGGGACUGAGACACGGCCCAAACUCCUACGGGAGGCAGCAGUGGGAAAUAUUGCACAAUGGGGGAAACCCUGAUGCAGCGACGCCGCGUGAGCGAAGAAGUAUUUCGGUAUGUAAAGCUCUAUCAGCAGGGAAGAAAAUGACGGUACCUGACUAAGAAGCACCGGCUAAAUACGUGCCAGCAGCCGCGGUAAUACGUAUGGUGCAAGCGUUAUCCGGAUUUACUGGGUGUAAAGGGAGCGUAGACGGCUGUGUAAGUCUGAAGUGAAAGCCCGGGGCUCAACCCCGGGACUGCUUUGGAACUAUGCAGCUAGAGUGUCGGAGAGGUAAGUGGAAUUCCCAGUGUAGCGGUGAAAUGCGUAGAUAUUGGGAGGACACCAGUGGCGAAGGCG
Molecule: ribosomal RNA, 595 nt
Filed under: uncultured Lachnospiraceae bacterium
Lineage: Bacteria; Bacillati; Bacillota; Clostridia; Lachnospirales; Lachnospiraceae
Description: bacterial SSU rRNA
Rfam family: Bacterial small subunit ribosomal RNA
Source: RNAcentral